This 325-nucleotide unclassified non-coding RNA is filed under the name Hevea brasiliensis (rubber tree). Lineage: Eukaryota; Viridiplantae; Streptophyta; Magnoliopsida; Malpighiales; Euphorbiaceae. The record is from RNAcentral.
AUAAAGAUAAUGAAGGGGCAAAUUUUAUAUAUGAGCUCCUUAAGAGCUCGAACUGUCCAAGGGUACCCAAUCCCCUGACAGUUCUAAUAUAUUAUUAUCAUGGCUCUACUGGUGGCUUUAGGCCAGCCACCUCGGCCUCAGCAGAAGAGGAAACAAUGUCUACAACAUUUUCAGAAACUCUAGUUUUACCAAUUUCAUCCCUUGUACUAGUUUCAAUUCUUGAAGCAUCUUGUGUAUCAGUAAUCACCACUCCUCUUGCUCUGCGUUUCCAAGUAUGUUUGUGUUGUUGCACUAUAGGAUUACCGUUUUCAUCUGAAUUAGAUCG